GUGUGUAGAUGGGUUAGGUGUAGUGUGUAGUGUGAGGUUGUGUAGUGUGUAGAUGUGUAGUGUGUAGUGUGUAGAUGGGUUAGGUGUAGUGUGUAAUGGGUUAGGUGUAGUGUGUAGUGUGUGGUUGUGUAGUGUGUAGUGUGUAGAUGG
This is a long non-coding RNA of Scomber japonicus (chub mackerel), 150 nucleotides long. RefSeq lists it as uncharacterized. The transcript has 3 exons. Lineage: Eukaryota; Metazoa; Chordata; Actinopteri; Scombriformes; Scombridae. The record is from RefSeq and is a predicted model, not a curated record.